AGGCUGGAAGUCCAAGAUCAAGGUGCUGGAGACUUGCUUUCUCUUGAGGCCUCCCUCCUUGGCUUGUAGGCAACCACCUUC
This 81-nucleotide microRNA precursor is filed under the name Canis lupus familiaris (dog). Its description in RNAcentral is "miRNA (ENSCAFG00000052199.1, ENSCAFG00845013548.1)". The record is from RNAcentral. Lineage: Eukaryota; Metazoa; Chordata; Mammalia; Carnivora; Canidae.